Molecule: ribosomal RNA, 492 nt
Filed under: uncultured bacterium
Lineage: Bacteria
Description: partial 16S ribosomal RNA
Rfam family: Bacterial small subunit ribosomal RNA
Source: RNAcentral
AGUGAACGCUGGCGGUAGGCCUAACACAUGCAAGUCGAACGGCAACACAGUAAGAGCUUGCUCUUACGGGUGGCGAGUGGCGGACGGGUGAGGAGUACAUCGGAAUCUACUUUUUCGUGGGGGAUAACGUAGGGACACUUACGCUAAUCCCGCAUCCGACCUACGGGUGAAAGCAGGGGAUCUUCGGACCUUGCGCGAUUGAAUGAGCCGAUGUCGGAUUAGCUAGUUGGCGGGGUAAAGGCUCACCAAGGCGACGAUCCGUAGCUGGUCUGAGAGGAUGAUCAGCCACACUGGAACUGAGACACGGUCCAGACUCCUACGGGAGGCAGCAGUGGGGAAUAUUGGACAAUGGGCGCAAGCCUGAUCCAGCCAUACCGCGUGGGUGAAGAAGGCCUUCGGGUUGUAAAGCCCUUUUGUUGGGAAAGAAAAGCAGAAGGUUAAUACCCCGCUGUUCUGACGGUACCCAAAGAAUAAGCACCGGCUAACUUCGUG